GGCGUUAAAGCCCCGGGGCUCAAUUCGGGGAGGUCGUUCAAUACUGCGGAACUUGAGGGCAGCAGAGGGAGNCGGAAUUCCCGGUGUANCGGUGAAAUGCGUAGAUAUCGGGAGGAACACCAGUGGCGAAGGCGGCCUCCUGGGCUGCUCCUGACGCUGAAGGCGAAAGCUAGGGGAGCGAACGGGAUUAGAAACCCCGGUAGUCCUAGCCGUAAACGAUGGAUGCUGGGUUUGGGGGGUAUAGAUUCCCUCCGUGCCGAAGCUAACGCGUUAAGCAUCCCGCCUGGGGACUACGGCCGCAAGGCUAAAACUCAAACGAAUUGACGGGUCCCCGCACAAGCAGCGGGGCGUGUGGUUUAAUUCGAUGCUACACGAAGAACCUUACCUGGGUUUGACAUGCAAGUAGUAGUGAAGCGAAAGCGGAACGACCCUUCGGGGAGCUUGCACAGGUGCUGCAUGGCUGUCGUCAGCUCGUGCCGUAAGGUGUCGGGUUAAGUCCCGUAACGAGCGCAACCCUUGCCCUUAGUUAUACGUGUCUAAGGGGACUGCCCGGGACAACUGGGAGGAAGGUGGGGAUGACGUCAAGUCAGCAUGGCCUUUAUAUCCAGGGCGACACACACGCUACAAUGGCCGGUACAAUGGGUUGCCAAGCCGUGAGGCGGAGCCAAUCCCGCAAAGCCGGUCUAAGUUCGGAUUGUGGGCUGCAACUCGCCCACAUGAAGCUGGAGUUGCUAGUAACCGCGCGUCAGCCAUAGUGCGGUGAAUACGUUCCCNGGGGAUUGUACACACCGCCCGUCACGUCAUGGAAGCUGGCAACACCUAAAGCCGGUAUGCUAACCCGAAAGGGAAGCCGCCGUCUAAGGUGGGGCUGG
RNAcentral lists this ribosomal RNA (872 nucleotides) under uncultured organism. Its description in RNAcentral is "bacterial SSU rRNA". It matches the Rfam family "Bacterial small subunit ribosomal RNA", at positions 591 to 1471 of the family's 1533-position model. The record is from RNAcentral.